Long non-coding RNA from Neoarius graeffei (lesser salmon catfish), 642 nucleotides. RefSeq lists it as uncharacterized. The record is from RefSeq and is a predicted model, not a curated record. The transcript is spliced from 3 exons. NCBI's taxonomy places the organism in Eukaryota, Metazoa, Chordata, Actinopteri, Siluriformes, Ariidae.
UACAAUUGAAAAUAAAAUUUCUCAAUUUUAGAGCAUAAAAGAUAAAGUUUGCUACAACCUAAAGCACACAUAUUCCGAGCACAACAAAGUUUGCAAUAACUGAAAAGAAAGCAGGCAUAUUCCAGUGCAACUCCUGCAGGAUAACAAAAGCAAGAAGCAAUGCAAACUGGGAAAUCUCCACCCCCUGUGAAAUGGAUACAUUUCGCGCAGUUUCUGCUGCUUGCUGACUGGCUUUUGUCUCUGCUGCCUGUGAAGAGAAGAGUGCACGCACGAGUUGGAUCACUUAACAAAAGCAACAUAUGAAAGUGCACAUGCAAAAUUAUUGCAAGAGGAACAUAGAUAUACUGACGUAAGUACAGAGCCUGAGUGUUCAGACAGUAUGGGCCGGGGGAAGCGAAAAAAGCGGCCAGUUGUCAUGUCCAGCGAAGAUGAGGAGAAUGAUGACAUCCAUCCUCUUCCUCCUCCACCCAGGGCUCUGCGAAUGCCUCCACCUCUUCCUCCUCCACCUGGGGCUCUGCGAACGCCUCCACCUCUCCCUCCUCCACCCGGGGCUCUGCGAAUGCCUCCACCUCUUCCUCCUCCACCCGGGGCUCUGCGAACGCCUCCACCUCUUCCUCCUCCACCCGGGGCUCUGCGAACGCC